Molecule: long non-coding RNA, 565 nt
Organism: Papaver somniferum (opium poppy)
Lineage: Eukaryota; Viridiplantae; Streptophyta; Magnoliopsida; Ranunculales; Papaveraceae
Exons: 4
Source: RefSeq, a predicted model, not a curated record
CGAAUCCGACCUUGGCUUCUGCUUCAUUCUGCGUUGGACUAAAAAUGCUAUACGUUUCAGUUUUGACAAAAUAUUAAGUUUCCAAAGCUCUUGAUAAACCAGAAUGGAUCUUUAGUUCAAGACAGUCCUUGAUGAUGGUGAUUAGGGUUCAUUGGGGUAGUACAGUAGUUGAUUGUUUGAUCUUUGUUAUUGAUUUUUGAGGCGAGACUACUUUGUUGUUUGACACCUUUGUUGUUACUUGAGUCCACUUAAGGACAGGAGGUUAUAGGCAGUUUAUGCGAUAUGGGUAACUGCAGUUUAGAAACGGCGCAUGUACUAAUGAGAACUGAUAUUUUAGCAACUGGCAAUCUCCGUUGAUGCCACAAAUCUUCUAGCAAGCUCGACUUCAUCAAUUGGUGGGUAUCUCCAAAGAAGGGCAAUCAACUAUCUGAUCACUGUAGAAGCCAAGAGUUAUUGAGCAAGCUGGGAGUUGAUGCAUCUCACCUGCGUCUUUGUUAGUCAAUAUUAAGAAGCUCAUAUCGAAACAAAGAAAUUGGGGGAUUUUUCUGAUCUACAGAUGAUAUAU